Molecule: non-coding RNA, 3115 nt
Organism: Coturnix japonica (Japanese quail)
Lineage: Eukaryota; Metazoa; Chordata; Aves; Galliformes; Phasianidae
Source: RefSeq, a predicted model, not a curated record
CUGGCUGCCACUGGGGAAGGAUCUCUUUCUGGUAAACUGUCCUUUGUGGAGCAUUUUGUUGCAAGCCUAAGUCUUUGGAUACAGGUUUUAAAUGCAGUUAUAAAAUCACACCAUGGCUGUUCCUGCCUACAAACACUGGGAAAUUUUUUCAUCGCUUUCCAAUGCUACUACUAUUGUUGAGUCAUUUCUACCUUCUAAAGAAAUUGCAGUGGACUGACUUCCCCUGACAGAAUGGCCUCUGUUUCUGCUUUUCUUUGGAGUGAGUAUGAAAAAGAAGACUUACUUCACAAAACAUAUAGACCUAUUACAGCUGGUUAUGAAUGAAUGGAAGUUCUUCGUGAUACAAAGCUUUCUGCUUUACAUUAAGAUGACUUCUGCUGGCUAAUACUGAAGGGGAAAUAGAAAUCCCAUCAAAAUCAGGGGCUUCACAUGUGGCCAGCAAAAAUCAUCCUCAUGUAAUUUCUUUCUUAUGCCUAGAAUUGAUUGAGAGGCCAAUGAUAAACUUUACCCAAAUGUGAGGUUUACUCAUGCUCUUGUCUAGUAAGCUGCAUUUUUUCUGAAAUAACUUAGUUUUAGCUAGACACUAGUAUUGUAAAUGACACAAAUUUCUGUUUUCUUUAGAGAAUAAAUCAGAUAUACAUGUCUAUAGAUAAUAAUAUUCAAGAGAAACAAACAAACAAACACAAAAAACCAAGCCCUUGAUUGUAUAUAGAAAAUUGCUGCAGACUAUAUUCUUCAGUAAACUAUGAAUGCAUCUUUUAAUAUUUUCCUAUUAAGCUACACAUAAGGGCACUGAGAAGAUGUAUAGAAGAACGGCACUCAGAAGAGAAUGGGACUCUCUGAAAUUAACUUGUUCACUUGAACAUAUAAUUUAAACUUGUCACAUGUUUGUUCAUGCCUUGGAUGCAAAGGCCUGGGGUUACUUAGUUGCUGCUUUAAGGGUUGCUAUUACUCCUGGGCUCAUCAACCUCAUUGUUUUCACUGCAUCUUUUGAAAGCAGCUAGUCAAAUGAACUAUUUGCUCCAUACAAAAAAUAAUAAUAAUUAAAAAAAAAAAGUGGUGAUGCCUAUAUUUAUUCCCAGACUGUUUCAGUAUGUUAUCAGUAAUGUAACUCUGACUAUAAUUUUUACGGAAAACCCUAGAAUUCUGUACAGUUGCUAGAUCAUUAUGAGCUUAUACAGCAACAAAAAUGGGUUAUUUUUCUCGCAUCUGACAGUCUGAAUCCUGUAGCUUAUUAGAUCAGGAUAUUCUGCAGAAUAUUUCACCUCUUUUCUCAGAAAAAAGAAAGAGAAUUAUCAAACCAAGAAAAUCAUUUCAGGCCCCUCAGGCCAUGUGGUGAACUUAGAAAUGACAUUUCAAAACAGAAUCUUUUAUGAUUCACCUCUUGAUUUUUGAUCAUUUAAUUCUCUUCUGCUCAACAUUUUCUCUCAAUUUCUGAGGAGUAAUAUUUUUAGAGGGCAGGCUGGAAACUGGAAUCCAGAAAUACCACACAAUACAUCUUGAAAUAUACAUUUUUGGAACACAGAGUAUGGAGAAGGGAUUUUCCAUUUGGAUCCUAUUGUUUGACUGACAAAGUAGUAAUAGUAAAAAUAGAUUAAUGGUGAUGAUUUUCAGAGCUUAUCUUUGCAUUUUUUUCCCAUGAUAUAUCUUAUAUAUAUCAAGGUGCUAUAAAAUCAUCCAUUGGUUUGGGAAAAAAAAAGCUGUGCUGAGCUUUAGUCUGGGGAAAAAGCAGAUGGUGUUUUCUGUACAGUCAUGAGAUAUCAGAGGGAGAUAAAGCUGAUCAACAGUCAAAUAUGAACAAAAAAAAAAAAAAGAUGAUGCAAACUGAAACAUCCAAAAAACAGACUAGUGAAGUUACAGAAGCUCAUUUCACCCAUCUUUUUGGGUGAACAUGCUCCUAAAUAUAAGGGGGAAGCUAGAGGGAAAUACCAUUGGUAAGCACAAGAAAGCUGUAAAGAAACUAACCUUACUUUUGUUUUUUUCACUUCUGUGUAGAUCUCUCCCUUCCUAAUCUUCAGUGCGAGUUCUGUUUUCUUGUCUCUGUAUACGACAAUCGUUCAAUUUGAGACAGAGUUUGUGGGAAGUGAGAGGCCAAGGGCUGCAGUUCUGUUAGGGCUGAGCUCUGUGCAGGCAGUGGCAGCCUGCUGGGCAGUAUAGUUUUUUACUGCAUAGUGGUGAGCCAAGUCCAAAAAACCUGAUACCAUGGCCAUGUUCAAGUUCUGUUACCAAAACAAGCACUGGUGUAUGUGGCAUGUACUGAUGCUACUAUUGUAUGACCACAGCAUGUGGUCAUACCCUCUGUGUUCCAUAUGAAUCAUGUGUUUAUACCUUGUUAUACAAGCUUGUUAUAGAAGAUGAUUAGAAUACCUGUGACUAUGUGGAGGAAUUAUUAAUAACAAUCUCUAAUCGAGCAAUGUCACCAAAAGGUAGAAAACUGACAUAUGAAUAUGUGUACUUCUGCAGAUAUAUUAGAAGUCUAAGAAAUAGCUUGGGAAACAAGAGUGAUAAGUUUACAUAAGGACAUCGAUGAAAUAAGCACACUAGAACUAGGAAACUAGGUAUUAGGAGCACAGCAUUGUAACGCCACAGCUCAUUAAAAAAAAGAGAUUAGAAUGUACAAGAAGAGUAAUAAAACUUUAUUUUAAAUAUAGUUUAAAAUCAAAUCAGGUAAAACAAAUGUAUUUGUAAACAAUACAUACCAUAGUGUUGACCUCGUGUUGAGCAGCAGUAAUGCAGAAUUUCCUUGUAUUUAUACUUGUAUGAUCUAUAGGCAUAUAUGUAAAUCAUUCCUUUGGAUUACUUUUGUAUGUAAAGAAAUGGAGUAUCUAAGUAAUAGUUCUUCAAACAGCAGAAGUUUGUUUAUAUAUUAGGAAGAAGCUGUAAGAUAUGUACUGGAUCAGCAGCUACUCACUGUUACUGUUAGAACACCUUGUUUAAUUCCAUACCAGUCACUUUUCAAUAGUUAAACUUAAUGAAAUAAAGGAAACAUUAUGGAAUUCCUGAGAGAACAAUAACUGAGGAAGUCAUUCUGUAGAUACGCUAGUAACAGGAAAAAUAUUCUACUGGUGUUGUGAUAUUUUAUGCUGUAUUGCUAUGGCUCCAAACUUCUGCUUUA